GGGGCUGUGGCGCAAUUGGUAGCGCGUGAGACUCCAGAUCUCAAGGUUGCCCGAUCGAGACGGACCAGCCUCA
This is a transfer RNA of Aspergillus versicolor CBS 583.65, 73 nucleotides long. It matches the Rfam family "tRNA". From Rfam's summary of the family: Transfer RNA (tRNA) molecules are approximately 80 nucleotides in length. NCBI's taxonomy places the organism in Eukaryota, Fungi, Ascomycota, Eurotiomycetes, Eurotiales, Aspergillaceae. The record is from Rfam.